This 253-nucleotide ribosomal RNA is filed under the name uncultured bacterium. Its description in RNAcentral is "partial 16S ribosomal RNA". It matches the Rfam family "Bacterial small subunit ribosomal RNA", at positions 524 to 776 of the family's 1533-position model. The record is from RNAcentral.
UACGGGGGGAGCAAGCGUUGUUCGGAUUUACUGGGCGUAAAGGGCGCGUAGGCGGCUCUACAAGUCACUUGUGAAAUCUCCGGGCUUAACUCGGAACGGUCAAGUGAUACUGUCGAGCUAGAGUACAGAAGGGGCAACUGGAAUUCUCGGUGUAGCGGUGAAAUGCGUAGAUAUCGAGAGGAACACCUGCGGCGAAGGCGGGUUGCUGGGCUGACACUGACGCUGAGGCGCGAAAGCUAGGGGAGCGAACGGG